Molecule: ribosomal RNA, 470 nt
Filed under: uncultured bacterium
Lineage: Bacteria
Description: partial 16S ribosomal RNA
Rfam family: Bacterial small subunit ribosomal RNA
Source: RNAcentral
GACGAACGCUGGCGGCGUGCUUAACACAUGCAAGUCGAACGCUGAAGCACCAGCUUGCUGGUGUGGAUGAGUGGCGAACGGGUGAGUAAUACGUGAGUAACCUGCCCUUGACUCUGGGAUAAGCCCGGGAAACUGGGUCUAAUACUGGAUGCUACAUGUCACCGCAUGGUGGUGUGUGGAAAGGGUUUACUGGUCUUGGAUGGGCUCACGGCCUAUCAGCUUGUUGGUGAGGUAAUGGCUCACCAAGGCGACGACGGGUAGCCGGCCUGAGAGGGUGACCGGCCACACUGGGACUGAGACACGGCCCAGACGCCGACGGGAGGCAGCAGUGGGGAAUAUUGCACAAGGGGCGAAAGCCGGAUGCAGCGACGCCGCGUGAGGGAGGACGGCCUUCGGGUUGGAAACCUCUUUCAGCAGGGAAGAAGCCACAAGUGACGGUACCUGCAGAAGAAGCGCCGGCUAACUACGUG